UACGGAGGAUGCAAGCGUUAUCCGGAUUUAUUGGGUUUAAAGGGUACGCAGGCGGGAUGUUAAGUCGGCGGUGAAAUUUUGCAGCUCAACUGUAAAAGUGCCUUCGAUACUGGCUUUCUUGAGUGUGGAUGAAGUAGGCGGAAUUUGUGGUGUAGCGGUGAAAUGCUUAGAUAUCACGAGGAACUCCGAUUGCGCAGGCAGCUUACUAAACCACUACUGACGCUCAUGCACGAAGGCGUGGGGAUCAAACAGGAUUAGAUA
Molecule: ribosomal RNA, 261 nt
Filed under: uncultured prokaryote
Description: partial 16S ribosomal RNA
Rfam family: Bacterial small subunit ribosomal RNA
Source: RNAcentral